GGCGGGCUGUGGCUCAGUGGCAAAGUAUCUGUCUAGAAUGCAGAAGUUCGCAAGUUCAGUCCUUGGCAUUGAAUGCACCA
RNAcentral lists this transfer RNA (80 nucleotides) under Sphaerodactylus townsendi. Its description in RNAcentral is "tRNA-Ser". The record is from RNAcentral. Lineage: Eukaryota; Metazoa; Chordata; Lepidosauria; Squamata; Sphaerodactylidae.